GUACUUUUAAAUUUAUAGAACUUCAAAAUUUCUUGAUUGGUAAAUUUUAAUUAUUUUUCUUAUAAUUAUAGUUAUAUUACUUUUAAUUUUCACCUGUGAUUUUUUUUUUUUUUUGCUUUUGUCUGCCACGAGUGUUUGUUUUCUCGAGACUUUUGCUUUUGCUUUCUUCUUUCGCCUUUUGCUUUCGGCUUGUCUUCUAGCAACUUUUUUACUUUUAGCUUGUCUUCUUUUCUUUUCUGGUUUCUAUCUUGCUUUUUCUUUUUAUUUUUGUCUUUUGUAGAUUUUUGUAUCCACUUUUUUCCUAUGAGUCACCAGCUGGAAUUCUUUGUAAUCCACUCCAUAAAUAUCUUCCUCUAAAUCUGUAUCUUAGCAACGUCUGAAUGAUCAUAGAUAUAUUCUUUGGCUGAAAGCAUAUGUGGAUUUUUAUUUUAGAUUGAGAAAAUCAAUUACAAGGAUGCAUUUCACUGUUUCUGGAACCUCUUAAUGUGUUGAAGAGAUUGUUUGACUUGUUCUGUAUCCAAUAAAAUAUAAAAAUCAAUUGUUUGACUUGUUCUGGAACCUCUUAAUUUUUUUCUUUUGAAAAAACGUUUUAGUUGAUUGUUUGCACUUACGUUUUGGUGUAAGCUUGAAAGAUUGUUUGAUUAUGUUAUUUAUAAAGAAGGCUUGUGGGUAAGGUAAUGUAUAUUUUUUAUUUUCAACGUAAAACGAAAAAGAAAAAGAAAAUGCUCAUGUGGCUAUAAUUUUGUAUGAGAAACUUAUAUCUCCUUUUUUAGGUAUGUGAAUUUUUCUUUGACCCAAGAAAUUGAUCAUUUUAACUUUAGUUUUCCAUAAGGUAAUGGUUUGAUGCUUAAAUUUUUUUUUAAAUCUUAAAGAAGUAGGUAUUUUACUUGAUUUGAAAUUAGAGGAAAGUACUAUUCUUGCUGUUACAUGUUCAAGGAUUAAGUUUCAUGUUAUUAAAUGAAUUGUAUAAUUAUAAUUGUCCAAUCCAAAGACUGAGAAUUGUUGUGACUGCAAAUGAGGUGUAAUGUUUUAGAAGCAAAGCAUUAGAGACAUGUAAUUAAUUACAUGUUUAUUUUGCUCCAUUGGAUAUACUUACUAUUCUAUAUAUCGGCUUGAGAAAAUAUCAUUGAGAAAUUAAUUGAAGUGUAAUAGCUUCUACCUAUUCAACUCUUCUAAUGCUAUUCAUAAAUGGUUGAAGAACUUGUGAGGGGGAUUACUUGAACUUCCACAAAGCAAGACUAGGUUUGUUGUUUAAAAGUGAUAAGUGCUCUUUGGAUGAGGUAGGGAUUGGAGUAUUUUCUCUUAAAUUAAUCGCUCACAUUAUAACACAACAUAAAGUUUGGAUAAUGAUCAAAGUUAUGUUACUGAGGCAUAUGAUUGCAUUUUUUAAAUUUAGAGGACUGAAUCUCUAAGGGGAGGGGGAGAUAGUAACGACUAAAAUUAAUGAAAUAUUAUUUUGAAUAUAAUUUUAUUAAUUUUGUGAUGAGAUAUAUCAAAAAGGAUUGUUGACUUAGUGGAAAUUAUGUUGACAACUCAUCUACCAAGUCCUAAGUUUGAAUCAUAGAAGUGUCGCAAGGAGUUUUAUUAUUUUUUCAACCUUUAGAAAUCACCACUCUGUCCUCAACAGCAUUAAGAUAAUUUUUCCUUUUCUUCCUUAAUCCAAUUCAAUGCUCCACAAUAGUUUAGAAGGAGAGAGAACUUCAACUAAAUAAAAAACACCCAACCCUUUGCGUUGUCCUCCCCUUCAUCCUCCAUAUAUCCUCAGUAUCACCUGGCAAGGGUAACUCUGUUUGCCACUACUCUUCUUCCCCCCCCUUUGUGAUUUGGAUUUGCUAAGCUCUUCGUUUCCUUUCUGCUCCUCUACUCUCUAAUUGUUUUUGCAAGUCGAAGACCUUCUCCUUCUUUCUUCAUUGGCAUCGUCCAUGGGUUGGUGUGAACACUAGUACAAAAAUGACUUUUUGUAGCAAUUAAAAAUAACUUUUUACAGCAGUUAAAGAAACAAUAUUGUUCCAGGGGGUGUAGAAAGUCCAUCUUUCUACAUCGGUUAUAAACCCGAUGUAAAAACAAAAAUUUUUACAUCGGUUAUAAAGCCGAUGUUGAAAAUUAUAUACAAGAAAAUAAAAAAAAUUUAUAUGAGGGCAAAGAAACCCAAACUUAUCACUUUUGCCCGAUAUAAUGCACAAGUGAUGAAGGUACCUACAACAAUGCAAUUAUAUCAGUUUACUAAACUUGAUGAUUAAAUUUACUUACAAUAAUACAAUUAUAUUAAAGAAAAAUAUGCUUUACAUUAUAAAUAGUUCAAUGUGUGAUGUGGUAAGCUGAUUAUUUGACAAAAGUCAAACCAAAUCUUCCCAUUCAAUGGUAACUUUUUUACACCGAAUGCAUGGCCACCUAGUGUAAAAAACCCACUUUUUACACCAAGUAGACUCACCCGGUGUAAAAAUGUUACUUUUUACACCGAGUAAGUCUACCUGAUGUAAAAAGUUAGUUUUUUACACCAAGUGGAGGUCUACCCGAUGUAAAAAGUGUCAAAUACUUCAACAGAAUUACAAAAAUACCACCGCCUUUAUUUUUUACAUUGUUUGCCUUCCAACUGUUGUAAAAAGUACCCCAUAAACUUCAUAUUUUGGACUAGUGAAAGCUCGUCUUUCAUCUUCACUGAGUUCUUCUCUUCUUCCUUCGAUGUCACUAUUGUUUGGUAUGAAAGACUUGCUCUAUUCUUCUCUUCUUGGAUUAUGAUUGUUGGCUGCUGAGAUGGGGGAGAAAAUUUGAGGUUUAUCUAAGUUAUAGUCUUGGAAUAGGAUUUUUGUUUGAGUAUGUAUUUUCUAAACUUUCAUUCAAUCUAUGAGAAGCUUGAUAGAUUUAUUUUUUUUUUCAAUUUGUCAAUUGAAUGUUUGGUUGAAGGAGUGAAAAUGUGGAAGAUGAUUAAUUCAAAUAAGAAUAUAAGAAAUUUUUGGAAAAUUGUUGGAAUGAGAUUUAAAGAGAAGCUUAUAAUUAAAUUUAAAGGUUAAUGCCUACAAGAUGUUCGAUAAAAUUCCUGUUAGAAGAAGUUUUAUUUGAUUAUGUAUUUUCCAAGUGGCUUGAUUGAUAUUUAUAUGUGAAAUUAGUUAAUUUAUUGAGAGUUGUACAUUUGUGAAUAUAUAAACUGUGGUACUAUUUUAUGACUUAAUUUUAGGAUGCACAUAAGCUAUUCAAUAAAAUGGAUAACGGAAGAAUUAUGGAUUAAUAGAGUGAUUAAGGGUGGUGUGAACACAUACUCUUGAUUAAAUAAUUAGCUAUGGCUGAAGUAUUUAUGGAAAAACAUUGUGAUAUAAAUGAUGGUGUUUUGGAAAACUUUAAAGUAUCUAAGCUGACUAUGAUUGUGUUAAUGUUAGAAGGGAUUUUAUAGAGUGUUGGGAAGAAGAAAAAUUUAAUAGGAGUUGAAAGAAGUACAUAUUUGGAUUUGGGAACUCUACAGGUAAGUAAAUAGCAUCCCAAUUGUUUUAUAAGCUAAUUAGAUUUUAUUACAUAUUGUUAAACUUUCACUAGCAUAUUAAUAUAACUUCAUUUUUGUUUUUUACUAUUUUAAAAUGAAAUACUUUCAUUUUAUUAAACUUUGCAAAGGAAAGAUAAAAUUGCUUUAUGAUUAGGUAUUCUUAAUUAUUUGACAUCAUCGAUAAUUUUGAUUCAUAAGUUGAGAAAUGAUUUAUUAAUAUGAUUCAUGCGUGGAAGAAUAGAGAUGAAUUGUUUGUGAUGAUUAUGAUGUGAAGAGAUAAAAAUAUUAAUUUUUAGAUGCAUGCAUGCAUGGUUUUUAUUGAGGGACUAAUUUCAAAAUGUUGGUUGCUAACAAUAGUUUCAUUAGCCCUUGACAUGCUAUGGUUAAGCCACAGUAGCUCAGUAUUCAUGAGCAAUAUACCCAUGCUUGUUAUUCAUGAGCUUUGUGCCUGCACUUGUUUCGUGACUUUAAGAUGUUCUUGUUAGUUACUUACCUUUAUGGAUUGUGUGUCUAUGAUUUUUGGUUUUUUAUCUUCAUGAACUUUGUGUUCAUAGUUGUUAAUCAUUUUGAUCAAGUUCCAUUAAAAAAUUAAUGAAUUUGAAGCUUAUCACUUAUUCAAGAUGAUAUUUGUUGAGCUAUAUUUCUAUAUGUAUGGAUUUUGAAAUGAGUCGCAUAUUUAUUAAUUGUUUAAAACACAUAUUGUAGCAUGUAAGUGAAAUUCUAAUGCUAUGUCAUCAUUAUUUCGAUUCAUUCCUCUAUGAUUUACAUAUUUACAUAGAAUCUUAUGGCCUAUGAGGUAUGGGUUUCUAAUUUAUUUUCAAGUGGAUAUUUCUAUUAAAUUCCUAAUUACAUCAUUAAUACAGAUGUUAGAUCAUGCAUUUUGAUGAUUAUAAAAUCAAGAGAAGAGGUAUUUGUUAUGUCUAUAGAUAUUAAGAAUCAUGGAUGAAGACAAAACUCAAGAGUAUGAAGAAUCAAGAGAAGAUUUAGGUUAAGUAAUUUAAAUUCUCUUAGAUUCAAUGCAAAAAUUUAGAAAGCUUAAUCACUUUUCUUAAACACAAAAUGUCUUGUGUAUGGUUUCUCAUGAAAAAGAUUUGUAUGGUGAGACUCAGAAUCACAUGUAAUUCUACAAGUCACUCAUAAGUUUUUGCAUGUUAGGCACACUGACAGCUAUAUCACGUGAGUGUGAAGAAGUGCUUCACACGUGAUUAAACACUUGUGUUGUAUGUUGCCUUAAGCUUUGUCUCUGUAUGCAAAAUCAAGCACGAAAGGCUUUAUUGUCCAUGCAUCUGUGCUUCAUUAUAUUGUGACAAAGUGCAAAAUCACAUGUGAAACUGAUGGUAGCCACAUGUGAUUUGUCACUUGUUGCACAAUCACACUUUGCUUUAUUGAGUUUUAAAUCUUCUCAAGUCAAGCUAAAAUUGUUCACAUGUAUGAUCAUUAAUUCACUAAUCUAUAUCUCUUAGUCAUGCAAAUCUUGCUUGAGUUUUGCAUUGUUUCAUAUAUGAAUAUGCAUCAGGCAAGUUUAUGCAUUACUGCUUGCAAUUUCACUUGUGAUAUCAUUCUGAUUCCACGUGAGUUUUGAUCACAUAAAAUGGCUUUGGCAUUCUACUAGCCAUUUCACACAUAAGAGAGUAGAGGUUCCAAGUGUGAUUUGUCACACAGAACUAAUGAUAGUUUAUUAUAUGUAAAACCACGAGUGAGAGUAAAUAGUGUACUCGCAAGUUUUAUCAUUCUGAUAUGCUAGUAUAUUCUUAAGUGCUAAAUCGCACAAGAGAGCAAUAUGGUACCACGUGAGUUUUAGCACCCAGAACUGAAUGUAUAUUCUUCAGUAUUAGACUACACGAGAGAGCAAUGAGAUACCACGCAUGUUUAGGCACACAGAACUAAAUGAUUAUUCAGAAGUGUAAAACCACAUGUGAGAAGACAAGGUGUUCAUGCAUGAUCCAUCACAUUCAGUUCUAUGAAACUUCUUCAGUGAAAAAUCAUGUAUGAUUAUAACAGUCACUCACAAGAAAAUGCCCUAACAGAAAGAAUCAUUAUUUCAACGGUCUAUCAACUUUCAAAAAUUAUAUAAGUAAUUCAUUUUGAAUUAGAAGAACUAAUAAUCUUUAAGUAAACAUAUUAUCAUUUAUGCAUUUAAAGAGCUUUCAAAUUGUGCUUUUAAUUAUUGCAUUCACUCAUUAUUCUGGAAAAGAAUUAUGAAAAGCUCUCAAAGGUUUAUAAGCUUUUAUUUGUAUUCUUGUCUACUCUUUAAAAGAGUCUUUUGUAAAAAGUUUAUACUAUUUUUUCAAAAAUCUUGAAAAGGGACUUUUUAAGAGUUUGCAACAACUUGCUGGAUUGUAACAGUGUUUGUUAAGUGAAUCAAGAUAAGAUUGGUCUUUAGAAUUAUGCUGUGGUGGCAAGCACCCAUUAAAACUUGUGAUUUUAGUUGAAAAUCUCAAGUGUGAUCUUAAGGACUAGACGUAGGCAAAGUUUGUGGUUGAACUAAUAUAAAUCUCGAGUGUGUUAUCUUCUUCCUUCACUCUUUAGCUCCUCACUCUUCCCAAAUUUUCAACAGUUUUUAAGUAUCACCCAAUUCACCUUCCUCUUGGGUAGCAGCCUAUCCUAACACAUUCUCUUUAUUUUGUUUAAUUUUAAAUUGGGAUGUUAUCCAUUGAAAAAUAUUUUGGACUUAGAUAAUAACUAGACUUGUAUCUCUUGUUAAUUAUUGAGGACUUUAUCGUUGAUAUGAAGUAGCAGAAUUUCUUUAUACAAAUUUCAAUGUGAUCUAAACGUGAACUUAUGUAUUAUUAUUAUUAUUUUUUUAUACAGUCUACUUCAUGUCCUAUUCACUAACAAUAGAUAGGAUUUUGACUUUUUAUAUACAUUGAUUGUUUUGUUGAGGAGUAGAGGUCCUGUUGAUGAGUUAUUAUAAAUUUGUUGUUAUAAAAAUUUAUUGUUUUAGUGUAUGAUUCUUUUUACCUAUGUGAAAAGCAUGAUAAGAAUUUAUAAUCCUAUUAUUAAAGAGUUGAAAAUAUCAAACUAGAAGUUUCUUGAAUUAAGGCUUAAGGGAUAUGUAUUUAGUACACAUAUCCCAUGCCAGUCAUGUUUUAUUUUGGGGCAUGACAUUUAAAUACCCUUUUUGGCUUACCUUAAUAUUUUGGAUUUAUAAACAUCUAUUUUUGGUGGAAUCUCAUUUUUGGUACAUAUUAUUAGUUAGAAAACUUCUACUUACCAUGGUAAGUCUCAUUUAUCUUGUUAACUUCUUUCUAUAGUGGUAGACUACUCCUUUCUACGAUAGUAAAUCUUUGUAAAAUUGGUUUGACUCCUUUUUAUCAUGAUAGACUAUUUUAAUUUCUACCAUUAUAGUGAUUUAAAAGUGAAUGGUUUUAUCCUUUUUUAUCAUGAUAGUUUCUUUUCUACCAUGACAGUGUUUAUAAAAGUAUAAUUUUGUUCUUAAUUACUCACUAGUGAAAAAUAAGAUAUCUAAACCCUAUUAUCUACACUAGUUAUAAUGCCUACGGUGUAGAAAUUAGAGGUGGUGACAUUUUUAUAAAUAAAAAUUUGUUUGAUUCAAUAUCUAUUCUAGUUCUUAUAUGCAACUGAUGUAGAUAUCAACAUUUACAUUGGGUUUAUUUCUACCCGGCAUAGAUGUUCAUUUUAUUUUUUUUAAAAAAAUUCUUUUUAACAUAUUUACACCAGUUAUGUAGGGUAACCAGUUUAGAUGUGAUUUUUGUAAAAAAAAUUGUUUUUGACGUAACUACACUAGUUAAUUAUGGUAGCUAGUGUAGAUAUGCUUUUAUAUUUUUUUUUAAAUCAAUUUAUUCCAUAUCUAAACCGGUUAUUUCUUAUAACCAGUGUAGAUAUUGUUUUAAAUUUCAAUACUAUCUACCCUUGUUUCCUCAGUCCACCUUUUCUCGCUCUCAUCUUGUCUCAAUCCACCUCUUCUCGCCAAAUCAAAAAUUCCUCUAUCUGCCUAUUCUCUUCCCCAUCAUCUCUAUCUGCCUCUGUUUACCUCUAUCUCUCUUAGUCUCACUGUGCUUCAUUCUUUACAGUUUGCCUCAUCACCAUUAUCUCCUUCUCACGGUGCCCUCUCUGUUCAUCAUGUGCUCAUCCAUUGAAAUGCAUUCAAGUUUAUCAGGUGCUCACCUAUUCGUCUGUUGCUGGUGUUGUGAGUGGUCAGAAUCUUCAUCCUCAUUCCUCCUCUAUCCAUGUGUCACUGUAACUACUAUCGUGGAGAGAAGAGGAAGAAAAAUCGAGAACCCUCAGUUGCUGCUCUUCUCCAGUUCUAGCAUGUUCACCGACAUCCUUUGUCAUUCCUCCUCCCUAGUUAGCUCUCCAUCGACAAGAGCGAGAGCUUCAUCUAUGCUGCUGUGUGGUUGCUCCAAAUCUUCCUCCUCUUUCGUUUCUCUGCCUGCCUCCCUUAUUGUAGACGGUAUGUUGCCAGUGGAUGCGUGAGGAACUAAAUCCACUGGAGUUGGAGGGUUGUUUUGUGAGCUAUUCUUCUUUCCUCUUUAGUGUCACUGACUUCAUUUACCUUCAUUUUUGUGUGGCUAAAUCUUUUCUCUUUCCUAUUAUGUUCCGACUAAUCUAGAGUUAGGGGGCUUUGAAUUCUUUUCUUCAUUCCUCUGCUACCAUUAUAGUGAGUAAAAAAAAGAAAAGAAAAAAAAGUUUCCAUCUCCCUUCCUCAGUUCCAUAUGUGUGUGAGUUUAUGAUGGAUGAUGCUUUCUUCUCCUCUGUUAUUGCUGGCCCUAACCGUAUAUGUUCGGAUAUAAAGGAAAAGCUUGAUUUAAGUCGAAACUCGUGUGUAACAAAAGAUGUUGAUGAUAUCAUUUGAGUUUUAGUUGAAUUUGAUUUGAUUGUUAAAGCUAAUAAUUUUUGGAAAGUGAAA
Molecule: long non-coding RNA, 8345 nt
Organism: Prosopis cineraria
Lineage: Eukaryota; Viridiplantae; Streptophyta; Magnoliopsida; Fabales; Fabaceae
Exons: 2
Source: RefSeq, a predicted model, not a curated record